CCGCCUGAGCCCGGAGGCCGCUGCUCGGCCGCACGUCCUCGCCCCUCCCGCCGCCAGCCCGCAGACAUGACCGCGAAGCCUCCUCCUGGGAUGGGAUUUGCUUGAAGAUUUUCUUCAUGGAAGCGAUGUCCCCCCAGCAGGAGACUCUAGGGGGGGCAGCCGGGGCGCUCCUCUUCCCUGACAGGAGUGUCUCUCAUCGCCGGAUGCCCCGGCACCAAGAAGAAGAAGGAACCUUCUAAAUCCAGCGUCAAGAAAAAAGUGACCAAAGUCGCAGAAGCAGAAAAAGUAAUGAAGAGAAAUUUUAAAGUGAACAAGAAAAUAACGUUUACCGAUGAA
Molecule: long non-coding RNA, 336 nt
Organism: Galeopterus variegatus (Sunda flying lemur)
Lineage: Eukaryota; Metazoa; Chordata; Mammalia; Dermoptera; Cynocephalidae
Exons: 3
Source: RefSeq, a predicted model, not a curated record